RNAcentral lists this long non-coding RNA (1065 nucleotides) under Aotus nancymaae (Ma's night monkey). RNAcentral's name for it is "lncRNA (ENSANAG00000038744.1)". Lineage: Eukaryota; Metazoa; Chordata; Mammalia; Primates; Aotidae. The record is from RNAcentral.
CGGGAAAGUCGGGGGUUGGGGGCCAGGGAGGCUCGGCGGCGAUCCGUACGCAUGCGCACCCCGCCGGUUCACUGUGCCCGCCUCCUGGCGCCCUAGCAACCGGGUUGUGAACCACCCUUUAUCCCGACUAAGUGGCCAUCCUGGGAGUUCUAGUGCCACUAGCCGGCUUCGGCUCUUCCCUGUCUGAGGGUCUUGUCAUUUCCGCUUCUUUCCUCCACGGGUGCCGAUUUCAUGUGUGUGUCCCCGAGUACCUGAGUCGGCUCCUAAAAUGAGUAUUAGUGUUUUCCGCGUGGGAACCAACUUCGGGCGCCAGUGGCCCGGCCUCCCUGGGCUGAGGUGGCUGCUGGGGCUGGGGCUGCUCCUGAGGCUUCAGGCUGUGUGCUGCACGGCUUUCUACCUCCCCGGGUUAGCCGCGGUCAACUUGUGCCAGGCGGAGCGAGAAAUCGCAUUUUGUCAGGUUUCUUUUAACAAAACAGAAAUGUGUAAAAGUUUGUGUAAAAUCUUAAAUGGAGACCAAAUGAACAAGCUGGCUUUUCUGAAGAAAGGAAUACGACUGAAUUACCAGCAUCACUGGUCAGGGAGGAAAUUGAAACGCUAAACAUUAAGAAGAUAGAAGAAAACCUGGAAUGAGGACACAAGCUGUAAGCAUUCAGAUGAAAACCACCUCACUUGUAUUGGACCCCUUAUGUAAAUUCCCAGAGAAUAUACAGAUAAGUUGAAUGUGACUUACACUUAUUCUGUGAGAUUGAAGUAAGUACUUCGUGCCAUCAUCUUAAUCUUUUUAUAAAUAUCAUGUACUUAAUAUUAAAGCCUAAAUUUUCCUUAAUAUAAAGGUGUAUAACACAGCUAAGAACCCAAGAAAACAGGUAAAUUCUUCCUGUUCCAACAAUUUAAUGGACAGUCAGUACAGGAAUUACUGUAUUAAAUCUACUACAUUUCGGAUACUGUGCCAGCUAUUAUACUUUCUCUUACUUCAUGUUAAAGGUUUCAGGUUUGAAACAGGUACAUGGGGAACUGGAGGGGCAUCUUCUGGGGUUGGCAGGCUGGCUGGCUGCUCAAGCGGGA